UUCAUCCUACGGGGGGCAGCAGUGGGGGAUAUUGGACAAGGGGGGAAACCCUGAUACAGCGACGCCGCGUGAGUGAAGAAGUAUUUCGGUAUGUAAAGCUCUAUCAGCAGGGAAGAAAGAAAUGACGGUACCUGAGUAAGAAGCCCCGGCGAACUACGUGCCAGCAGCCGCGGUAAUACGUAGGGGGCAAGCGUUAUCCGGAAUUACUGGGUGUAAAGGGAGCGUAGACGGUUAAGCAAGUCUGGAGGGAAAGGCGGGGGCCCAACCCCCGGACUGCUCUGGAAACUGUGUAACUAGAGAGCAGG
RNAcentral lists this ribosomal RNA (305 nucleotides) under uncultured bacterium. RNAcentral's name for it is "partial 16S ribosomal RNA". It matches the Rfam family "Bacterial small subunit ribosomal RNA", at positions 333 to 652 of the family's 1533-position model. The record is from RNAcentral.